UCGAACGGACAGACUUCGGUCUGUUAGUGGCGAACGGUCGCGUAACACGUAGGCAACCUGCCCGAAAGUGGGGGACAACAGCCCGAAAGGGCUGCUAAUACCGCAUGUGGUCAAUUUAUCGCAUGAUUGAUUGACUAAAGGAUUUAUUCGCUUUCGGAUGGGCUUGCGGCCUAUCAGGUAGUUGGUGGGGUAACGGCCUACCAAGCCGAUGACGGGUAGCUGGUCAGAGAGGAUGGUCAGCCGGAUUGGGACUGAGAUACGGCCCAGACUCCUACGGGGGGCAGCAAUUAGGAAUCUUGCGCAAUGGGGGAAACCCUGACGCAGCGACGCCGCGUGCGGGAUGAAGGCCUUCGGGUCGUAAACCGCUUUUCUGGGGGAAGAAUACUGACGGUACCCCAGGAAUAAGCCCCGGCUAACUACGUGCCAGCAGCCGCGGUAAUACGUAGGGGGCGAGCGUUG
Molecule: ribosomal RNA, 459 nt
Filed under: uncultured bacterium
Lineage: Bacteria
Description: bacterial SSU rRNA
Rfam family: Bacterial small subunit ribosomal RNA
Source: RNAcentral